CUUUUCUUUAGUUGUACUUUUUUUUUUUUUUUUUCAUUUACACCAAUAUUAAAUAAGUGUUUUAGCAUAUUUACUGGUAUGCCAAAAGCACAAUUGUGGUGAGACCAGAGCUGUCUGCAUAUUUAAAGUAUCUGUAAUUAGGACUGGAUGAACUCCACCCCGAAACAGCCAUGAUGGGGUUAACAGUGAGCAGCUAUUUUCCCAGCUGUGGCCCAGUGCCAGAAUCACAACAGCUGGGACAAAAGGCUGCCGACCAGGCAAAAUGGGGUAAUUGCCAGAGAGGUUAGGAUUUACCUCAAGGAGACUCUUUAGCUACAGUUUAAUAGAGGAGUGCCUUGGGAAUGCUCUCAAAAAUGCCUUAGGAAGGAAUAAGAAGAGAUAUAUAAGCAAACGAAAUACUGCUGAGCAUAUAUUCACUAAAGGUUUUCUUCAGGGUCACUUUAAGACAACAAAGGGACACUAAUCACACCUGGAGAAGAGGACCUCACCUUUUAUGCAACUAUGCAUUUGUCCUUACUUGAAAGGACUGAAAAGGAUCCUGUCUCUGCUACCAGGGAGAGCCAUGUAGGAACAAGGUGGUGGGCAGAAGAAAAGACAUCAGGAAAAGAUGGUAAUGGUCAUAACAGGUGGCCAUUUUCUCUUCUGAAUCUGGAGAUUAAGUACACAAGCUUUGCUGUCGCUGUUGUAGAAUGGUAGGAGACCAUCAGUGGAGACUAUCAAGAAGGGAGGCAAUCACUGCCAUACUAGAACAUAAUGAGGUAAUAUCUCCGAUAACACAGUAGUAUUUUGGUGGACACUGCAGCAAGC
RNAcentral lists this long non-coding RNA (807 nucleotides) under Anas platyrhynchos platyrhynchos (common mallard). Its description in RNAcentral is "lncRNA (ENSAPLG00000017229.1)". The record is from RNAcentral. Lineage: Eukaryota; Metazoa; Chordata; Aves; Anseriformes; Anatidae.